CUGCUCAGGACGAACGCUGGCGGCGUGCCUAAUACAUGCAAGUAGAACGCUGAGGUUUGGUGUUUACACUAGACUGAUGAGUUGCGAACGGGUGAGUAACGCGUAGGUAACCUGCCUCAUAGCGGGGGAUAACUAUUGGAAACGAUAGCUAAUACCGCAUAAGAGUAAUUAACACAUGUUAGUUAUUUAAAAGGAGCAAUUGCUUCACUGUGAGAUGGACCUGCGUUGUAUUAGCUAGUUGGUGAGGUAAAGGCUCACCAAGGCGACGAUACAUAGCCGACCUGAGAGGGUGAUCGGCCACACUGGGACUGAGACACGGCCCAGACUCCUACGGGAGGCAGCAGUAGGGAAUCUUCGGCAAUGGACGGAAGUCUGACCGAGCAACGCCGCGUGAGUGAAGAAGGUUUUCGGAUCGUAAAGCUCUGUUGUUAGAGAAGAACGUUGGUAGGAGUGGAAAAUCUACCAAGUGACGGUAACUAACCAGAAAGGGACGGCUAACUACGUGCCAGCAGCCGCGGUAAUACGUAGGUCCCGAGCGUUGUCCGGAUUUAUUGGGCGUAAAGCGAGCGCAGGCGGUUCUUUAAGUCUGAAGUUAAAGGCAGUGGCUUAACCAUUGUACGCUUUGGAAACUGGAGGACUUGAGUGCAGAAGGGGAGAGUGGAAUUCCAUGUGUAGCGGUGAAAUGCGUAGAUAUAUGGAGGAACACCGGUGGCGAAAGCGGCUCUCUGGUCUGUAACUGACGCUGAGGCUCGAAAGCGUGGGGAGCAAACAGGAUUAGAUACCCUGGUAGUCCACGCCGUAAACGAUGAGUGCUAGGUGUUAGGCCCUUUCCGGGGCUUAGUGCCGCAGCUAACGCAUUAAGCACUCCGCCUGGGGAGUACGACCGCAAGGUUGAAACUCAAUGAA
This 906-nucleotide ribosomal RNA is filed under the name Streptococcus agalactiae. RNAcentral describes it as "bacterial SSU rRNA". It matches the Rfam family "Bacterial small subunit ribosomal RNA", at positions 20 to 908 of the family's 1533-position model. The record is from RNAcentral. Lineage: Bacteria; Bacillati; Bacillota; Bacilli; Lactobacillales; Streptococcaceae.